UGUGAAAUUCGUUGUGCCUAUUGCUGUUGACGUUAAUUAUAUAUUUUUCUUAUUUCUAAUUUAGAAAAAUGGAAUUGCAUUUAUUGAAACUUACGAGAGUGGAUCCAUUCACUUCGCAACUCAACGGUUGAACACUUAAAGUCACCAGACCUCCUUUUCCUGUGGUGGUAUUCACAGCAAUGUCGUGCGGUAUUUUAACUUGCUUUAACAAUUGUGAGGAAUUCAGAUCGAAGGCAAGGAGUUUCGGAGGGCAUACGGGUUGAAAAUUAUUGAUGAGACCUGAGUCCAAGACCCACAAUCUGUCACAUAUAUCGAUCUAAAUAUCGUACGUAAAUUGAACAUUUUUUUACUUGAAAAAAGAACAUUAAUUUUGAUUUUGUAACUAUAGAAAAAGUUUCUAUUAUAAUUACCUCAAUCUUGUAAACACUCAUGAUACCAGUGCAAUUUUCAUUUUCCGCCCACGUCCAAUCAGGAUACGGUGCCAGAAGAGGUCCACCGUUGCUAGUUUUGUUAGUUAUCACGUUCAAAGAAGAAGGCACGCCAUUAAACUUCAUUAUGAUGA
Long non-coding RNA from Apis florea (little honeybee), 562 nucleotides. The record is from RefSeq and is a predicted model, not a curated record. Lineage: Eukaryota; Metazoa; Arthropoda; Insecta; Hymenoptera; Apidae.